RNAcentral lists this ribosomal RNA (460 nucleotides) under uncultured bacterium. RNAcentral's name for it is "partial 16S ribosomal RNA". It matches the Rfam family "Bacterial small subunit ribosomal RNA", at positions 338 to 795 of the family's 1533-position model. The record is from RNAcentral.
CCUACGGGUGGCUGCAGUGAGGAAUAUUGGUCAAUGGACGAGAGUCUGAACCAGCCAAGUAGCGUGAAGGAUGACUGCCCUAUGGGUUGUAAACUUCUUUUACAUGGGAAUAAAAUGUUCCACGUGUGGGAUUUUGUAUGUACCAUAUGAAUAAGGAUCGGCUAACUCCGUGCCAGCAGCCGCGGUAAUACGGAGGAUCCGAGCGUUAUCCGGAUUUAUUGGGUUGAAAGGGGGGGUAGGUGGGUUGUCAAGUCAGUUGGGAAAGUUUGCGGCUCAACCGUACAAUUGCAGUUGAAACUGGCAGUCUUGAGUACAGUAGAGGUGGGCGGAAUUCGUGGUGUAGCGGUGAAAUGCGUAGAUAUCACGAAGAACUCCGAUUGCGAAGGCAGUUCACUGGACUGCAACUGACACUGAGGCACGAAAGUGUGGGUAUCAAACAGGAUUAGAUACCCCUGUAGUC